UACGUAGGGGGCGAGCGUUAUCCGGAUUUACUGGGUGUAAAGGGAGCGUAGACGGCCAUGCAAGCUCGGUGUGGAAGGUGCGGGCACAACCCGCAGACUGCACUGAGAACUGUAUGGCUGGAGUGCCGGAGGGGCAGGCGGAAUUCCUGGUGUAGCGGUGAAAUGCGUAGAUAUCAGGAGGAACACCGGUGGCGAAGGCGGCCUGCUGGACGGCGACUGACGUUGAGGCUCGAAAGCGUGGGGAGCGAACAGG
Molecule: ribosomal RNA, 253 nt
Filed under: uncultured bacterium
Lineage: Bacteria
Description: partial 16S ribosomal RNA
Rfam family: Bacterial small subunit ribosomal RNA
Source: RNAcentral